UUAGUGUUUGGAAAUUGGAUUUUUAAGAUGCGUUUAUACAAAAUGUAUUAGUUGUUUGACAACUCCCAUCUUCAAAGGACACGCAUGGGAUGCGUCAUGUCAUGUCUGAUUUAUCCACUAGAUGGCAGUUGAAUAUCAAUUCAAAUGGCAUUUGUUCUAAAAGAGAGACGUCAUAAAACAGGUAAUUUGCUUAUAAUUUACCGUUGGUAAAGCUACAAUAUUUUACAUUUCCUGAUAACUAUGCUGUUUGCUAGCAAAACGUAGCCUAUAGUAUUUCUGGUUGCUUUGGCACAUAGCCUAGCUGAUAUAGCUUUUAGUUGCUUACCAUCAACCUUUACAGAAAUUCGAUGUAGAGAAUUUUACCUGUAAUAAUAUAAACCUGCGUGUUAACUGUGUUCGAUGUCUGGUUAAAUGCUGGUCAUAUCAGCUAAGGCAGUUAUUGACUGUUAAGGAAGAAUUACAGCUCAUCAUCAAGACAUUUUCUCUCUUGUGAUCAUAGGAGAUACUGACACAGACCCAUUUACUGAUGCCAUAAAUAUAUGGGCCACUUACACUGCAGGCUGCCUAUACCUUGGAUACACACUCAAAACUCUCCAUAUUUCACUCGAUUCUAGAGGUGAAUCUUUCAAUGCAGAAGUUUGGAUCUUCUCCAUAGGGCACAGCGUGGAAUAUAUUGAUCAUGACCAUUCAUGUGCAUCCAGAUGGACACACACAGUGAUGAUAGUACAUGUGGCAAAGUCCAACUAUCCAUCUGUUGUUUGAAAUGAUUCCUGUAGGGACGAGUGUGUGUCACAGCUGGUGUCCCAUUGGCUUGGGUAAGCUGACCUGCAGUGAUGCAGAGAGAAAUGCAGGCCAAGUAUGGCAUCUGGCAUGGCACCGGACAUACAACUUCCUCUAUGAAAAAUGAUCUUCUCACCCUGAAUGAUAAAGCAGUACAAUUAUUCCCAGUAUUUAACUAAGGUAAAAUCUUUCAUGCACACCUCAGUAUUCUGAGGUGUCACCGUUAAAACCACCGUCUUUAUAAGAUUUGCACAUUUGCUUCAUUUUAGAUAAGGGUGGGGCUCCUCUCAGGGGGAGGGGCUUCCGUGUUGAGAUCACAUGAGCUUUAACGUGUUCUCUAAUAUGAACUGUACUGAAGAAAUUGUUCCGUUUAGACCUAUUCUACAUACAAAUGACUUGAAGAGUGCAUCUUCAUUGAUCAAUAUGGCGUGAACAACCAGAUGUAUUUGCACAUUUACACCUGUGUCCUGUAUCUACCUCAGCCAGUGAUGACAUUGCUGGCCUCUCAAAUGCAUCUGCGACAUUUACAGUUUUCUUUUUAUGAUCGGAAGGCAACUAUCCAGUCAGUAAAAAUACACUAAGUGUAAAUACCCCCUUCCACUGAACUUUAUUAAAAGCAUCUGGUGGGAGUUCCAAUGGAGACACUUACCCACUAGGUUGUCUGAUGAAAACUUUCUCUUUCUCUGUUGAUAAAUUUCAAUUGCAGGGUUCCAGAGAGUCCUGGUGUGUGGAAGGAACUGUGGUUUUUAAGACCAACUUCAGUUAGUUUCUUCAAUAUGGUCAGAUGUAAUGUGGAAUGUAUCAUGUGGGCAGAUAUAAUUGGGAACAGUUGUGGUGUUGCAUUCCUCAUUUAAAAAUGUAAUUGGAUAAAUGUAAAGGAAUGAACAGAAAAAAAGAGUAACUGUGUGUUGUACGUAGCCUACAGUAAAUGAUAAUGACCAAACACUUUUAGUUUUAAAAUGAUCUCUUUAAGAUGAGUAUUCUUUAUCUUUUAUGAAUAAAACCUCAAAUUGAAAUCUCAUUGAGCUGUUGAC
Triplophysa rosa is the source of this 1814-nucleotide long non-coding RNA. RefSeq lists it as uncharacterized. The transcript has 3 exons. The record is from RefSeq and is a predicted model, not a curated record. NCBI's taxonomy places the organism in Eukaryota, Metazoa, Chordata, Actinopteri, Cypriniformes, Nemacheilidae.